RNAcentral lists this ribosomal RNA (422 nucleotides) under uncultured bacterium. RNAcentral describes it as "bacterial SSU rRNA". It matches the Rfam family "Bacterial small subunit ribosomal RNA", at positions 362 to 775 of the family's 1533-position model. The record is from RNAcentral.
UCUUCGGCAAUGGACGAAAGUCUGACCGAGCAACGCCGCGUGAGUGAAGAAGGUUUUCGGAUCGUAAAACUCUGUUGUUAGAGAAGAACAAGGAUGAGAGUAAAAUGUUCAUCUCUUGACGGUAUCUAACCAGAAAGACACGGCUAACUACGUGCCAGCAGCCGCGGUAAUACGGAAGUGGCAAGCGUUGUCCGGAAUUAUUGGGCGUAAAGCGAGCGCAGGCGGUUCUUUAAGUCUGAUGUGAAAGCCCCCGGCUCAACCGGGGAGGGUCAUUGGAAACUGGAGAACUUGAGUGCAGAAGAGGAGAGUGGAAUUCCAUGUGUAGCGGUGAAAUGCGUAGAUAUAUGGAGGAACACCAGUGGCGAAGGCGACUCUCUGGUCUGUAACUGACGCUGAGGCUCGAAAGCGUGGGGAGCAAACAG